UUUUGAUUUUGAUACUAAUUUUUUAAACUUUACAAAUUAUAUUAGUCGAAUGAAGUUUGAUUUUAAAUUGUACUUUUGAAUGUUAAUGUUUAAUUUUUUAUUUUUUUAUUUUUGCUUGUUAAUUUUUUAAAUAUUAAUUAUGAUUUUCGAAUUUUAUUUUUAAAUUUUGUUUUAUAAUUUUACUUCUAAUUUUAUUUUACUUAAUUUUACGCAACUAUAAUUAAUUAACAUUACUAUUAUAAGAAAAAAUCAAAAUGGUCAUGUCUAACUAUUGUAUAAAAUAAUCCAUUAUAUAUAUUUUUUUUUCAUGACUGUAAUAAAGAUUGUAAAUAACGAAUGUUCAAAAAAAAAAAAAAAAAAAAAAAAAAAAAAAAAAAAAAAAAAAAAAAAAAAAAAAAAAAAAAAAAAAAAAAAAAAAAAAAAAGUAAAACACCAAUGACAUGAUCUACACUUGAACAGACAGAGACACUACCAGAGUAUAAAGUUACAUCUUGGAGAAAAAAAAAAAAAAAAAUAGAGAUAAAAAAAAAUUACAAUUAAAAAAUAUUAGGUGAAAAUUGAUAAAACAACUAAGAAAAAAAAAAUACAUAAUAAUAACUACAUGACAUUUGCAUCAAGUUACUUUUGAUUUUAAGUAUUACAUUUCUAAACGUGUGACAUGACAACGAAAA
RNAcentral lists this unclassified non-coding RNA (671 nucleotides) under Melitaea cinxia (Glanville fritillary). Its description in RNAcentral is "misc RNA ENSMCXG00005020356.1". The record is from RNAcentral. Lineage: Eukaryota; Metazoa; Arthropoda; Insecta; Lepidoptera; Nymphalidae.